UUAAGGGAAUGCACACUGUCACCAGGCUG
Molecule: non-coding RNA, 29 nt
Filed under: Mus musculus (house mouse)
Lineage: Eukaryota; Metazoa; Chordata; Mammalia; Rodentia; Muridae
Source: RNAcentral